Molecule: ribosomal RNA, 253 nt
Filed under: uncultured bacterium
Lineage: Bacteria
Description: partial 16S ribosomal RNA
Rfam family: Bacterial small subunit ribosomal RNA
Source: RNAcentral
UACGUAGGGUGCAAGCGUUAAUCGGAAUCACUGGGCGUAACGGGUGCGUAGGCGGGUCUUUAAGUCAGGGGUGAAAUCCUGGAGCUCAACUCCAGAACUGCCUUUGAUACUGAAGAUCUUGAGUUCGGGAGAGGUGAGUGGAACUGCGAGUGUAGAGGUGAAAUUCGUAGAUAUUCGCAAGAACACCAGUGGCGAAGGCGGCUCACUGGCCCGAUACUGACGCUGAGGCACGAAAGCGUGGGGAGCAAACAGG